RNAcentral lists this ribosomal RNA (3055 nucleotides) under Campylobacter jejuni subsp. jejuni 51494. Its description in RNAcentral is "bacterial LSU rRNA". It matches the Rfam family "Bacterial large subunit ribosomal RNA". Lineage: Bacteria; Pseudomonadati; Campylobacterota; Epsilonproteobacteria; Campylobacterales; Campylobacteraceae. The record is from RNAcentral.
GUAAGCUACUAAGAGCGAAUGGUGGAUGCCUUGACUGGUAAAGGCGAUGAAGGACGUACUAGACUGCGAUAAGCUACGGGGAGCUGUCAAGAAGCUUUGAUCCGUAGAUUUCCGAAUGGGGCAACCCAAUGUAUAGAGAUAUACAUUACCUAUAUAGGAGCGAACGAGGGGAAUUGAAACAUCUUAGUACCCUCAGGAAAAGAAAUCAAUAGAGAUUGCGUCAGUAGCGGCGAGCGAAAGCGCAAGAGGGCAAACCCAGUGCUUGCACUGGGGGUUGUAGGACUGCAAUGUGCAAGAGGUAAGUUUAGCAGAACAUUCUGGAAAGUAUAACCAUAGAGGGUGAUAGUCCCGUAUGCGAAAAACAAACCUUAGCUAGCAGUAUCCUGAGUAGGGCGGGACACGAGGAAUCCUGUCUGAAUCCGGGUCGACCACGAUCCAACCCUAAAUACUAAUACCAGAUCGAUAGUGCACAAGUACCGUGAGGGAAAGGUGAAAAGAACUGAGGUGAUCAGAGUGAAAUAGAACCUGAAACCAUUUGCUUACAAUCAUUCAGAGCCCUAUGUAGCAAUACAGGGUGAUGGACUGCCUUUUGCAUAAUGAGCCUGCGAGUUGUGGUGUCUGGCAAGGUUAAGCAAACGCGAAGCCGUAGCGAAAGCGAGUCUGAAUAGGGCGCUUAGUCAGAUGCUGCAGACCCGAAACGAAGUGAUCUAUCCAUGAGCAAGUUGAAGCUAGUGUAAGAACUAGUGGAGGACUGAACCCAUAGGCGUUGAAAAGCCCCGGGAUGACUUGUGGAUAGGGGUGAAAGGCCAAUCAAACUUCGUGAUAGCUGGUUCUCUCCGAAAUAUAUUUAGGUAUAGCGUUGUGUCGUAAUAUAAGGGGGUAGAGCACUGAAUGGGCUAGGGCAUACACCAAUGUACCAAACCCUAUCAAACUCCGAAUACCUUAUAUGUAAUCACAGCAGUCAGGCGGCGAGUGAUAAAAUCCGUCGUCAAGAGGGAAACAACCCAGACUACCAGCUAAGGUCCCUAAAUCUUACUUAAGUGGAAAACGAUGUGAAGUUACUUAAACAACCAGGAGGUUGGCUUAGAAGCAGCCAUCCUUUAAAGAAAGCGUAAUAGCUCACUGGUCUAGUGAUUUUGCGCGGAAAAUAUAACGGGGCUAAAGUAAGUACCGAAGCUGUAGACUUGCACACAACUUAGAUUAUUUAAGUUUAGAAUAUGAGAAACUAAGUUAUAUGUUUAGUUAUAUUUUUACUGAUUUUUAUAGAGUAAAGAUAGAAAUAAAACUUAGUAAAAUCAGUAAAAAUAUUCUUAGACUAAAGUUAAGUAGUUUAAGUUGUGUGCAAGUGGUAGGAGAGCGUUCUAUUUGCGUCGAAGGUAUACCGGUAAGGAGUGCUGGAGCGAAUAGAAGUGAGCAUGCAGGCAUGAGUAGCGAUAAUUAAUGUGAGAAUCAUUAACGCCGUAAACCCAAGGUUUCCUACGCGAUGCUCGUCAUCGUAGGGUUAGUCGGGUCCUAAGUCGAGUCCGAAAGGGGUAGACGAUGGCAAAUUGGUUAAUAUUCCAAUACCAACAUUAGUGUGCGAUGGAAGGACGCUUAGGGCUAAGGGGGCUAGCGGAUGGAAGUGCUAGUCUAAGGUCGUAGGAGGUUGUACAGGCAAAUCCGUAUAACAAUACUCCGAGAACUGAAAGGCUUUUUGAAGUCUUCGGAUGGAUAGAAGAACCCCUGAUGCCGUCGAGCCAAGAAAAGUUUCUAAGUUUAGCUAAUGUUGCCCGUACCGUAAACCGACACAGGUGGGUGGGAUGAGUAUUCUAAGGCGCGUGGAAGAACUCUCUUUAAGGAACUCUGCAAAAUAGCACCGUAUCUUCGGUAUAAGGUGUGGUUAGCUUUGUAUUAGGAUUUACUCCGAAAGCAAGGAAACUUACAACAAAGAGUCCCUCCCGACUGUUUACCAAAAACACAGCACUCUGCUAACUCGUAAGAGGAUGUAUAGGGUGUGACGCCUGCCCGGUGCUCGAAGGUUAAUUGAUGGGGUUAGCAUUAGCGAAGCUCUUGAUCGAAGCCCGAGUAAACGGCGGCCGUAACUAUAACGGUCCUAAGGUAGCGAAAUUCCUUGUCGGUUAAAUACCGACCUGCAUGAAUGGCGUAACGAGAUGGGAGCUGUCUCAAAGAGGGAUCCAGUGAAAUUGUAGUGGAGGUGAAAAUUCCUCCUACCCGCGGCAAGACGGAAAGACCCCGUGGACCUUUACUACAGCUUGACACUGCUACUUGGAUAAGAAUGUGCAGGAUAGGUGGGAGGCUUUGAGUAUAUGACGCCAGUUGUAUAUGAGCCAUUGUUGAGAUACCACUCUUUCUUAUUUGGGUAGCUAACCAGCUUGAGUUAUCCUCAAGUGGGACAAUGUCUGGUGGGUAGUUUGACUGGGGCGGUCGCCUCCCAAAUAAUAACGGAGGCUUACAAAGGUUGGCUCAGAACGGUUGGAAAUCGUUCGUAGAGUAUAAAGGUAUAAGCCAGCUUAACUGCAAGACAUACAAGUCAAGCAGAGACGAAAGUCGGUCUUAGUGAUCCGGUGGUUCUGUGUGGAAGGGCCAUCGCUCAAAGGAUAAAAGGUACCCCGGGGAUAACAGGCUGAUCUCCCCCAAGAGCUCACAUCGACGGGGAGGUUUGGCACCUCGAUGUCGGCUCAUCGCAUCCUGGGGCUGGAGCAGGUCCCAAGGGUAUGGCUGUUCGCCAUUUAAAGCGGUACGCGAGCUGGGUUCAGAACGUCGUGAGACAGUUCGGUCCCUAUCUGCCGUGGGCGUAAGAAGAUUGAAGAGAUUUGACCCUAGUACGAGAGGACCGGGUUGAACAAACCACUGGUGUAGCUGUUGUUCUGCCAAGAGCAUCGCAGCGUAGCUAAGUUUGGAAAGGAUAAACGCUGAAAGCAUCUAAGCGUGAAGCCAACUCUAAGAUGAAUCUUCUCUAAGCUCUCUAGAAGACUACUAGUUUGAUAGGCUGGGUGUGUAAUGGAUGAAAGUCCUUUAGCUGACCAGUACUAAUAGAGCGUUUGGCUUAUCUUUA